This is a non-coding RNA of Vicugna pacos (alpaca), 2909 nucleotides long. NCBI's taxonomy places the organism in Eukaryota, Metazoa, Chordata, Mammalia, Artiodactyla, Camelidae. The record is from RefSeq and is a predicted model, not a curated record.
CAGUCAAAUUGGCUACGUCAUACAGCUCAACCCACUGUAAGAGUUACACGUUACAGACCCUGGUGGUGGAGGUGACAGCCACUCCUGGUGCCUCAAUCAGACAAGCCCAGGGCUGUGACGUGGUGACAAAUGAUGGGAAAAAAGAGCCCCUGGCUCGCUCAGCACGUGUUUUGUUUUGGCAUCGGCGGAGAACAGAUGACUCACGUGCACCCCAGAGAUGCGGUUGUCAGGGCGUCCUCUUUGUAAAGGCUGUGUGACGCUGUGAGAAUCAUAGCUGUCUGCAGACUAACACUUUGCCUUCAAUUUUUAAUGGACAAGAGGACUUUGCGUUGGAGUCCGUGCCGAUUUGGGAAGUGUGGAGGCUCCCAUCCCAACGCCUGUGCCCUCCCGCGUCUCUGUGCACCUGUGGAUCUGCUUGACCCGCUCAGCACCGGGGGUCUCAGUGACAAGGUGGAGGCCAGAGGUCUAACAGCCGUGGGUGGAAAUAGCAAAAUACAGAAGAAUGAAAAAUGAGCAGAGAAGAAUGUGCAGUUGGAAGUGAGGCAGAUCCGUACGGUACCCUCGUCCAUCCAUCACUAAUGUUCCAGGAGGCUGGCUGGAGGCCUGACGGAGGUGCACCGAGGUUCAAGAUAGAAGGAAAAAUAAAAACGAAAGAAGAAUGGCUGCAGCACACCUGUGUUGGCAACUGUCAAGCCCUCCGUCCUGACAUUAGUUGGAUCAUCUGCUGAACGGAGGCUCUGAUGGAAAACGCAAUGACAGGAGAUGCCUGGGAAGGGCAGAUGCCUCCCUGCCUGUCAACAGUGAUGACAGUGACACCUGAGGAGGCACCUUUUAUUCCACACAAACAGAUGGCUUCAAACACAUGCCACAUACUGUCAGAUCUCUUAUGCUCACCUCUGAGCAUUUAGGCCAGCUUGAAAAAUCAAAAAUUAAAAUCCACACACAAAGAGCACUUCCUGAGGCUGAGUCACUAAGCUGAAAGCAAUUAUCACCCGAUUUUAGGUGUCUGCCUGCUGUUCUCUUAAGUGACCUGCUCUCUGAAAGGAAUGUUCAGGUGAGGAAGAGCCAAACCUUUUGAAAAAUACUCCUCUUUUGGUUUUCCACUGGUUACAAAAGAGACAAAAAAGAACAACAAAAGAUAAAUAAGACAAGUUAAAAAGCCACAUUCAUUGGGCGUAUCCAUCCUCUUACUGUGAGAGGAAAUGAGUGUCCAGGGAAAUUUCUAUUCAGGUUCACACCAUCAUAUUAGAGAAAAACAACGGAAAACUUGCAUCCAAGUGUUUGUGUGAAGUGAUAUCAAUCUAGGAUUGAGGGAUAUGAGUGGUCAAUUUUUUAAAAUAUUGUCCCCAUUUUCAGAGGAAUCAGAUUCGACAUGUGUUACGAGUUUCUCUCUUCUCUCAUUUGGAAUUUCAGUCAAUUCCAUUGUGAAAGGUCAAAUUGCACUCAGCCAAGCAAACACCUAACUAAACGGUUAAGGGAAUCGUCCAUAUUUCUUAAAGGACCAUCCAUAAACAGCUCCAGUUAGCUACAUUCUUCUGUUUUGAAUUAUAAACAAAGAAGUUGAAAUUCUGCUCUUUCUGGGAAGAAAGCCUCCAAAUUGCAUCUGGGAGGAGAGGGAAGCCUGUGUUCCAGCUACAGCAUAUGAAAUGGGGUCUCUGACUCACUGAGAUGAGAGGUGAGGGGGAGGGAGCAAUCCUGGUUCCAAGACCACAGACUCCUGCCUUUCUUAACACAUUUCCUUUUUAGGUUCUUUUGAAUUCAUUUUCUGUUUGUAUUUAGGACCAGUUCCAGAGUCUUUAAGUGAUUUUUUAAAUAAGUAAUUUUCAUCAAUUUUACUGGGGGAUAAGGCAGCAAAGCACAUCCCACUGUCAGGCUGGAAUUUGAUCCCUGGUCUGAUUUAUUUUUAAAGAUAUUUAUUCAAUCACAAGAUCCAAAUCUCUACAAUAAACAUCUCAUUUCUCUAACCUUUCCACCAAACACUCCUUAACAUUUUCCCUUAAACACUCAUUUUUCAACUGAAUUUAAGAACAGUUUGUUGAACAGAGUAAACAGAUUAUAGUGUGAUAAACUAUUCUUGGUUAGUAACUGAUAAAUAGCUGUCUACUUAUGUUCUUGGUGUGAUAUUAAAAUCUAAUUAAAUUUAAUUGGAAAUUAAUCUUAAAUUCUAAUUAAAAUCAGAAUAUGGGUCCAAAUAAAUGGGGUAUUAACUAAAUGUGUGUCCCUGGGGGAAUCUGCAGUAAACUUUCUUGAUCUCAGUUCCUUUAACUGUAAAAUAGCAAUGUUAAAAAUCUGUGACAUUUUCACUGUAGCUUUAAUUUCUGCAUUGUGAGUGUACUUUGUAGUAGUUUUUAUUGGAAAUAAAAACUAUUUCUAAAUCCUGGGGAAAAAAUGUUAAAGUUCUCAGGUCAGCCCUUGUAAGGCUCUGGAGAGUGGAAUCACACAGGUUGUUAGCAUAAGAAGCUGGAAAAUGAUGAGAAUAAAUGUAAGAGGAGGAGCUGCUGAAAGCCCACAGAGCCGGACGCGCUGGCCUUGCAGUCUGGGAUGUAUUUCUUAGUCUAUAAGGAGAAUUUGGCUGCCAAGACUGGAAACAAUCAUCUUGUCAUCAGUUCUGUGAGCCUGGAGUAGACAAAAUCAUCAAAGGUGCUCAGCAUUUUAUCAAUGAGGUGGCUUCACACAUUCCUUAGUGUUCGUAAGCACGGAAGGGCGUUUUUCUAAAUCUCAGGAUCUCAUUUUAAGAACUGAUCAUUGAAUCUCUCAAGGGCCACACAUAAUGAAGUGUAGUUAAGACCAAGUUAAUGCCGGUACUUAAUGUCAGUGAGAAAUUAAUUGCCCACAGUCUUCACCAUAGAUCAAAAUAGAAGUGGCUUUCAGAUAAAUAUGAGCUCCUUGUAAGAACUUGUUUAAGUUGA